CGGCGAUACCCGAUUGGGGAAACCCAGUGUGAUUCGUCACACUAUCAUUAACUGAAUCCAUAGGUUAAUGAGGCGAACCGGGGGAACUGAAACAUCUAAGUACCCCGAGGAAAAGAAAUCAACCGAGAUUCCCCCAGUAGCGGCGAGCGAACGGGGAGGAGCCCAGAGCCUGAAUCAGCAUGUGUGUUAGUGGAAGCGUCUGGAAAGGCGCGCGAUACAGGGUGACAGCCCCG
Molecule: ribosomal RNA, 233 nt
Filed under: Helicobacter pylori
Lineage: Bacteria; Pseudomonadati; Campylobacterota; Epsilonproteobacteria; Campylobacterales; Helicobacteraceae
Description: partial 23S ribosomal RNA
Rfam family: Bacterial large subunit ribosomal RNA
Source: RNAcentral